This 497-nucleotide ribosomal RNA is filed under the name uncultured bacterium. RNAcentral's name for it is "partial 16S ribosomal RNA". It matches the Rfam family "Bacterial small subunit ribosomal RNA", at positions 28 to 507 of the family's 1533-position model. The record is from RNAcentral.
GAUGAACGCUGGCGGCGUGCCUAAUACAUGCAAGUCGAGCGAACGGACGAGAAGCUUGCUUCUCUGAUGUUAGCGGCGGACGGGUGAGUAACACGUGGAUAACCUACCUAUAAGACUGGGAUAACUUCGGGAAACCGGGGCUAAUACCGGAUAAUAUUUUGAACCGCAUGGUUCAAAAGUGAAAGACGGUCUUGCUGUCACUUAUAGAUGGAUCCGCGCUGCAUUAGCUAGUUGGUAAGGUAACUGCUUACCAAGGCAACGAUGCAUAGCCGACCUGAGAGGGUGAUCGGCCACACUGGAACUGAGACACGGUCCAGACUCCUACGGGAGGCAGCAGUAGGGAAUCUUCCGCAAUGGGCGAAAGCCUGACGGAGCAACGCCGCGUGAGUGAUGAAGGUCUUCGGAUCGUAAAACUCUGUUAUUAGGGAAGAACAUAUGUGUAAGUAACUGUGCACAUCUUGACGGUACCUAAUCAGAAAGCCACGGCUAACUACGUG